This is a long non-coding RNA of Panicum hallii, 740 nucleotides long. RefSeq lists it as uncharacterized. Lineage: Eukaryota; Viridiplantae; Streptophyta; Magnoliopsida; Poales; Poaceae. The transcript is spliced from 4 exons. The record is from RefSeq and is a predicted model, not a curated record.
CGGCUGUUGCUCUCUAUCCACGACUGGGAGCCCGCCGUCACCACCUAGGGCUGGUGGGCCACCACGCGGCCAGCAGCUAGGGCAGCAGGCGCCACAUCAGGUCACCGCGCUCCGGGCGCCGUGUGGUCGCAGCGCUCUGGGUGCCGCCACCGCUCUUGGCUGCGCCGCUCCGAGCAGCCGCGCGUCGUUCCUGGUCUUGCGAUUUGCGCCUCCGCCUGCUGUGGAUUCUGAUGGAUUGGGUUGGUUUGGCGCAGGGACGCGACGGGGGAGACGGACGAGGAGAGGCAUCGGCUGCGGAAGGAGCUGGAGGCCCUGAAGCCAGCAGCCUUAGGGUCCCCAGGCGUCGACCGUGGCAUAAUUAGAUGACCGUAGAGGAGCGAGAUGCAGAACGAGAGGCGGGCGUUCCUCGUGUGGCUGUAGGAAUCUUGCAAGAUUGGAAGAGAAUGACAAGCUUGUCCUGACACCCUUUGAGAAGAAUAUUGACAUCUGGAGACAGCUCUUGAGAGUGCUUGAACGCAGUGAUUUGAAUUUGGAGAUUGAGAAGAUCAAGCCAUGAGUGCAAAGAGAAGGAAGAAGGCCCAAAGAAAGAUAGGUUUUAGAAGUUACAUUAAAAAUUUAGAAAUAUUGUAUGGUAUUUCUACUUUGUUUAUUUUUUUAUUUUUACGAAUGCACUUGUGUGGACCUGAUAAUAUUUGUAUGGACCUCAUUGUUGUUGAAUUACGAAGUUUUCUAUUUUAAGA